Molecule: ribosomal RNA, 495 nt
Filed under: uncultured bacterium
Lineage: Bacteria
Description: partial 16S ribosomal RNA
Rfam family: Bacterial small subunit ribosomal RNA
Source: RNAcentral
GACGAACGCUGGCGGCGUGCCUAAUACAUGCAAGUAGAACGCUGAAGGAGGAGCUUGCUUCUCUGGAUGAGUUGCGAACGGGUGAGUAACGCGUAGGUAACCUGCCUGGUAGCGGGGGAUAACUAUUGGAAACGAUAGCUAAUACCGCAUAACAGUAGAUAUCGCAUGAUAUCUACUUGAAAGGUGCAAUUGCAUCACUACCAGAUGGACCUGCGUUGUAUUAGCUAGUUGGUGAGGUAACGGCUCACCAAGGCGACGAUACAUAGCCGACCUGAGAGGGGGAUCGGCCACCCUGGGACUGUGACACGGCCCAGACUCCUACGGGAGGCAGCAGUAGGGAAUCUUCGGCAAUGGACGGAAGUCUGACCGAGCAACGCCGCGUGAGUGAAGAAGGUUUUCGGAUCGUAAAGCUCUGUUGUAAGAGAAGAACGAGUGUGAGAGUGGAAAGUUCACACUGUGACGGUAUCUUACCAGAAAGAGACGGCUAACUACGUG